UUGACCUCAAAUCAGGUGGGACUACCCGCUGAACUUAAGCAUAUCAAAAGCCCGAAGGAAA
This 61-nucleotide ribosomal RNA is filed under the name Hymenochaete tongbiguanensis. Its description in RNAcentral is "partial 28S ribosomal RNA". The record is from RNAcentral. Lineage: Eukaryota; Fungi; Basidiomycota; Agaricomycetes; Hymenochaetales; Hymenochaetaceae.